GACGAACGCUGGCGGCGUGCUUAACACAUGCAAGUCGAACGGAAAGGCCCUGCUUUUGUGGGGUGCUCGAGUGGCGAACGGGUGAGUAACACGUGAGUAACCUGCCCUUGACUUUGGGAUAACUUCAGGAAACUGGGGCUAAUACUGGAUAGGAGCUCCUGCUGCAUGGUGGGGGUUGGAAAGUUUCGGCGGUUGGGGAUGGACUCGCGGCUUAUCAGCUUGUUGGUGGGGUAGUGGCUUACCAAGGCUUUGACGGGUAGCCGGCCUGAGAGGGUGACCGGCCACAUUGGGACUGAGAUACGGCCCAGACUCCUACGGGAGGCAGCAGUGGGGAAUAUUGCACAAUGGGCGGAAGCCUGAUGCAGCAACGCCGCGUGCGGGAUGACGGCCUUCGGGUUGUAAACCGCUUUCGCCUGUGACGAAGCGUGAGUGACGGUAAUGGGUAAAGAAGCACCGGCUAACCACGUG
RNAcentral lists this ribosomal RNA (468 nucleotides) under uncultured bacterium. RNAcentral describes it as "partial 16S ribosomal RNA". It matches the Rfam family "Bacterial small subunit ribosomal RNA", at positions 28 to 507 of the family's 1533-position model. The record is from RNAcentral.